ACGGUGGAUCGAUGAUGGUAAGUGUGUUCUUGGUCAAUUCACAGUCCACUAACAAAAGGAUUGCCCAUUUUUUUCCCCUUUUCUUUAGUCAUGUAUGGAUCAAGCCUGACAUGAGGAAAUUCUGGUUGGAGUUGAUUUAUCAUAGAUUUACACAAGUUUUUCCUUUGAAAUGGUAAAUUUAUAGUCCAGAAUUGGUUAUUAGUUUCUAGUUUACAAUGUGGGGUUUGGUUUGGUUUUGUUUUGUGUUUGUUCGCUCAAAAAAUUUUGGCUUGAUUUUUGGUGAGCGGGGUGCUGGAUAAAGUAACGAUUUAAGUUGCUUGUAAUCGAUUUUUCAGUCUGUCAAAUUCCAUUUGGAAAUCCAAUUGAUGUGCUUGUGUCCG
Molecule: unclassified non-coding RNA, 380 nt
Filed under: Hevea brasiliensis (rubber tree)
Lineage: Eukaryota; Viridiplantae; Streptophyta; Magnoliopsida; Malpighiales; Euphorbiaceae
Source: RNAcentral